RNAcentral lists this long non-coding RNA (7214 nucleotides) under Homo sapiens (human). RNAcentral's name for it is "PREDICTED lncRNA (TCONS_00255603)". Lineage: Eukaryota; Metazoa; Chordata; Mammalia; Primates; Hominidae. The record is from RNAcentral.
CUGGAGUACAGCGGCUGAUCAUAGCUCCCUGCAGCCUCUGCCUCCUGGGCUGAAGCUAUCCUCCUACAUCAGCCUCCUGAGUAGCUGGGAUUACAGAGACAGAAACUGAAAACCAUGGUUUCAGGCUGCUAAAAACCUAACAUGAAACAAAACAGAAGAACAACAACAACAAAAUAAGGUUGCUGACCAGAACUCAACAGUGAGGGAAUUUACCUCCUGCUUCAUGCAUGCAACAUCAAAAUAGAAGAGUGACCUAUGGGAUCCAUGGAGGAGCUGCUUCCUGAAUCUGUGUAAAGUAGAUCUUGCCGUGUGGGUAACUGUGACUGCGGUGGCCAUGAAGAGGCACAACUCAGACCUCGGAUCUCCUGCUGCAGAGAACAUUGACUGACAGCCCAGCAGCUCCUGUCUGGAUCUACCACCUGUUCACAAUUCUGAAAUACAUUCAACGCACACUUUCCUACUGAGAUUUCUAAAAUGGGACUUGGAAAACAGAAAAAUACUAAAGUGGGGUACUAUCAUCUAAAUCUCCAAAAAGGUCAUUCAACUCUGAUCCCUGUUUAAAGAGAGAAAAAAGGAAUAAAGGAGCCUUUGAAGGCAGAAUAUUGCUCACUCAUCUCUUUGAAAGGACCUCAGACUGCAGAGCAGAAGAACCACUGGCUACAUCAGCUGGGGCAGAGGGGGAUGAAGAGAACAUCAUGAUGCCUGCAAAAAAGUGGGCUCUGCAGGAUCUCCAGUCACCUCCCUUCCCUUCAGAUCCAGAGCUCUCUCUGGCUAGGACCUUCCAGAGUUCCAGAAUUUUUGUUCCACCUUCCAUUGCUCACUUCUAUUACUAUUACUAAGAUAUUCACAUGGAAUUCUGUGCAAACCAUUUUUUUUUUCUUUUGGUGCCCUCUUUGUUUUACUUCCUCUAUUGGGACUAAUGGCCAUCUGACUUGGGGGUCCUUUGUUUUUUGUGACAAACCACCCUCAGCAGAUUUCCUUGAGGUCCAUUUGCUCAAGGGCCUUAAAGCUUUUUGGAGUAAUACAGAGUAAGUUUCUAGACAGCCUCUUGUGCUCUGCAGUAAGCUAAAGUGGAAGAUUAAGAUGCCUGGUGUAUACUGUGUGUUUCCCAUGUAAUGGCAGAAAAGGAAUGGGGCUCAUUAGUUACUUUAAGGUGGCAGCAGCUACCUUAGAGAAGACUGCAUUGCUUGUACUGAUUCAAAAGAGCACCUAAUGAAGGGAAAAAGCAGAAAUAAGCCAAGACUUGAGCUGAGUGAUUCGUUGAAUCAGCCAAGGAUAAUGUUCUUCAGGCACUAUGCACAUGUCACUGAUCAGUAGCGCUUCUCUUAAGCUUCAACAGCACUCACUUCCCCUGUCUUGAUGAGGUGAGCAGCACAUUUAAUUUCAGCUCCUGGGGCCAUCUGCAAACCUCUACUCCAUUCCUCAGCUGUGUUUGCUCCUCUGUUCUCAGGGAGCAGCAUUUUCACUGGAUGCAAACUGUGAGGCACUGUCUGGGCAAGCAGAUUGGUUACUAAUGAGGAAACUGGCACUGACAGCCUUUUGGGUUCUGAUUGAAGAAAAGAGAUGUCUUCGCAUCAGAAUGGUUUAACUUUCAAUGUGGCAUAUCAACUGGUUGAAAUUAGGGAGAGAGAGAAAGAGAAAUUUAAUUGUCAGGCUGUGGUGCGUAGUGUCAAAGCUACCUAGAUUAUGAGAAAUACGUCUUUUCAACAGCUUAAAGGCCACAGCUCUCAACAUUUUUUCUGCAUGUACAACACAGACAGGAUCCAGAAAUCCCAGCCUAUAACUCUUGGUUCCGUCAAAUACUCAACAGAGAAAACAGAAGUAUUUGAUUGUGGUAUUAACUAUGAAAUGUUCCCUAUUAGCCAUAUGAUUCUAUUAGCUCAGCUCAUUCCUGUUAGAUUUAUAGAAACAUUAGAGAUAAUUGGAAUUAGAAGGGCCAAGAGAGACGAUCCAAUCCCAUAUAGAGAAAAGCAAGACCCCUGCUCUCACUGAAGAAGUUUUAAAAAUAAUUAAACAACAAACAAACAAAUUGAGGCCCAGAGAGAUGAAGUAAUUUGACUGAUGUAUUCCAUCAGUGACAGACCUGGGACUGGAGCUCCAUCUCAGCUCUCAGCCCACUAAGAACCCUGUUCAUGGUGCCAUACUAGCAACCCCCUUCCUGUAGGAGUCUUUGAGAGUCAGAAUGACUUCUUGACUGAGAGGUACAUGUCUCUAGGAUAAGGACAAUUGAGGGGAUAAUGAGGAAAGAAAUAAUGUAAGUUAACUAUAUUUUGCCACAUGCCCUCCUCUCUCCAUGAAUCCAGGAUGUUGACCCAUAUCCAGCAUCCAUUGUGGGACUAAGUCUCGGACACCAAGGACUUCUAAGGAGCCUGCUCCAAUCUGAAAUGACUGUGGGGGAGCUGGCCAUUCCCCGAGCCAUUCUUGGAAUAUUGGGCCACAGGGGCCACUGGGGAGCAUGUAUAGGUAGGGGCGGCUUUGAUAUAAGCCUAGGUAUUCAAUUCUUCAUGGGACCCCCAAUGCUACCCCAAGUCUGCACCUUGAUUCCCAAAUACCCAAGAGAGACAAAAUGUCCUACUUUCUCUCUGAAGUUCUUCUAAUGUUGGAAGACCUAGGGUGGAGGCAAACCUUUCAGAGAAUUUCUGCUGGGAUUUAAAUGUAUGUCUAGCUGGCUUUAGACAUUAGAAGACUGUAAUAUGUACCUUAAUAAGUUGCCUUUCCCAUGGUGUUUGUUAUCCUCAGAAGACCCCCAUAGUGACUCUAGGAGACAAUUCUCAUAUCUUCUGAACUGUGCAUGUUCAUAGUUUUUCUGAGCAGGGUUUGCAUCUAGCAGCGAUGGAGGUAUAGGAGGUCACAGGCAACACUGCGUGCCUCACACAACAUUGUAGAUCAAGACACAGUUAAAUGGGCUGGCAAUUCUGAGUUUCUGAGUCCAGUCCCAUGACUAGUAUAGCUGUCAGAACUAGAGGGGCCAACCCUGGGAAUCUUGGAGAUGCUUUAUGAAUAUAUGAGAUUUCAGGCAUCCAAGCUCUUCUAUUUGUUUACAUGUAUUCUCAAUGUCUAUCUCCCAUUAUCAAAUCUAUUCCAAAAGUAUUUUUUCAACACUUGCUGGAGACUCUUGGAUAAAGCUAGUAAACGUGCUUUUAUUAAGCUCCAACUCUGUGCUGACCACUUAUACAUAUAUUGUCUCAGUUGCACUCAAAAUGCUAUUGUGUGUUAGGGUUCUUUCUUACAGAUUUUGAAACAGUGUCUUGGAGAGGUUAGGUGAAUUGCUCAAAAGACGCAGCAAGCACAGAGCUGUGACUUGGUCCUGUCUUAUCUGCUUUGGGGUUAUGGGUAGUUUAUCUUUAUAUGCCUAUUUUAACAGUAGACCCUCAACCACUGAAAUUGACAGGAAAAAGUAUGUGGUUGUUUUACCAAACAAACAAACAGACAAAAAACCAAACCCACCAAACCUGAAAUUUUUGGUUUGGUCAACAUUUUAAUUCAACUGUACUCAAUGUAUUAACAAUGGUGAUUUGAUAUGAUGGAUGUAAUUGAUAAUCAAUGCAGUGCCAUUUAUAGACUGCCUAAAAGUGCAUUGUACAUCAUUUUGACAACAUAUUUACCUGCAUUGUUUGGGCAAAAUGAAUUUUAAAAUUAUUUUUUGUUUCCUAAAUUUGUAUCAAUUGAAAAAAAAAAAGUCAUCUGGGUAGCAGACAGAAGUCAGCCUGGGACUACAGUGGGUCAUAACCCUGAGGAUUCAAAUGUGGGCAAUGGCAACAACAUCAGCGACUAAAGCUGUCAGUGGAGAAAAGAAGAAAGCACACGCCAGCCACCCUGCAGAACAAUGCAGUUCUUUCAGAGUCACAUAGUCCUAAAUCUGGAAACCAUCACAGCUGAGAGGAUAAGCUUUGGAACCCGAUAGUGGUCUAAAACUAGGCUCUGCCUGCCAUGGACAAACUACAAGAGACUGGGAAGUGAGUUAAACCUGAGCUAAAUCCCAGUUUCCUUCUCUGCAAAACAGGGAGUGGGGACAGUGGAAUAACACCUCCCUCAUAGAACUGUUGGGAGGCAUAAAUGACCCUCAGCACAGGGUGGUGUGUAUGGAAUGUGCAUCAUAAGUGGCAGCUAUUUUGAUAAUUACUAAACAUGAUGAAUGAUGAUAAGCGAAAUAAUAACACAGCUUUUCAACAUUUUCACUCAAUAAGUUAAAUUUAUAAUAGGCAAGCAAAGGAGUUUCCAGAAUUAAGCAUCUGAUGGGAGCUUAGACAGGUUGACUUUUACAGCUCAUUCUAACCCUGAGUGAGGGUCUGUGAUUUUAUAAGCCCUUUUAGGGUUCGAGUGCUACUUCUAAUCAAGAUCCUGGUAUCAUGUUUUUCUCCAUUACGUGGAACAAUAAUGAAUAGAUAAAUAAAAUAUAACUGGGAAAGGAGAACACAGAUUGAACACAUGCAUUUAUCUCCACUCUUGUCCAAAACCUCACAGUAAAAUAAUUUAAAAUACAUGAACCUAUAAGAACAAGAGAGGGGAGAUAUGAUGAAAGAGAAAACCAAAAUUUUGGAAGUUGGAAAAAAAUGGAAGGCUGGUUAGCCAAUUAGGGACAGUAGAAAGCUGCAUAUCUGUAAGGCACAUGCUGCCAAGAGAGAAAAGCAAGGCAAUUUGGAUGUGGAACCUCAGACAGGCUUAGAAUAGGAAACAGAUCCAUGAGUCAUGACACUGUGGUUGAGAUUUCUGCUUUAGCCAUUCCAGCGUAUGCUUGUUUUUCCCUAAAAGUCUUUACUCAUUUGUUUUCUCUCUUCCGCCCAGUGAACAUCUACUCAUUCUUCAAAACCCAGAACUGUUGUUGUUUCUUGAAAAAUGGAGAUUAUUCCAAAGUUCUUUUAGCCUUUGCAAUGUGAAGGCAUGUGUCAGGGUUGGGAGGAGUUGGGGAACAGCACCUCUUUCUUUUAACGUCCAAUUGAUUGAGGCCAAUGGGUCAUCCUGCCUCCUUCCCUAAAUAUUCCUGAGAAUGCUCAGAGAGGGCCCACAUGUUCCCUAAGUCCAUUCUGGUUACCCUGUGUGCCUUCUUGCUCUGGUCUGCUGCUCCCAGCUUCUUCACGAUCACUUGUGAUCAUUUGCUAGCCUUUUUUUAGUCCAUUUUACUCCAAAGCAAGAAUACAGUACUUGCUCCUUACUCUCCAAUGCUUACCAAUGCAACAACAAGAGGUAAUAGUAUUUAACAAAUUUUGAUACGGAGGAAAGGAAAACCUAAAAUAAGGUACCAUGUAUCACUAUUCCUGAAUUCUGUCAUCAUGUCCCUUUAAAGGCAGUGCUCUAUAGGUUCCGUCUCUCCUGUGGCCCCAGCCUGCUGCCACUGGAACAAGGGUCCAGGGUUCUUAAUGCACGGAAGUCUUCAUCUUAUCCCCCACAAAUCUACAGCCAAAAGAAGGAAAUACCCAUUGAUGACACGAUAGACAAUAUAACAGUUGACAAGAUAAUUGAUACAGCGUGCCCAAUGUGAAGAGAGAAUUUGUCACGGCUAGAGUAGUGAACCUUCUCCAGGUGAACCAUCUGCCGUUGGAAGCUUCCUUUUGUCCAGGGCUCCUGCAAGGCCAGUGAGUAGGUACUUCUAUCUACACAUGACUGAAAAAGACUUACCAAAACCAAUAUAUUCCCAAGGAUACUUUCUAAAUUCUACCCAAGGAGCAGAUGCUGCUCACAAUUCUCUAAAACAAGGUCUUUUUUUUUUCAACCCCAGAUAUAUCAAGAAUGGGACACAAUCUCCGAGGAAGAAAUUGUCAGCAUCUAUCUUGAAAAUAUCUUUGGUUUCCCAUUACAUUUCGGAUUUCUCUAGACCAUAUUUGUAGUUCCCUUUUUGGUGUUCCCAUUCUUGUAAGUUUAUAUAAACAGCAAUAAGACUAUAGCUCUUCUCACAGGAUACUUUGUUAUUUCUUAAUGGGACUGUCUGUCCUGUAGGCUAUGAGCUAUUUGAGGGCAAAGAAUAUUCUAUUCAUCUUUAUAUUCCUGGCACAUGGUAGGCACUCAGUAAUGCUGCUGCUGAAUUGAAUCGGCUGUGGGAAAAAAACAAAUGCUUCUCCUCAGUCAGCAUUUGUUUUCUAGGAUCUAUUCCAAUAUAUUUCCAACAAAAAUAUGAGAUUUAAAAGAUAGGCAGAGAGUGAAUUGAACUGAAUAUUGCACAAAAACUCCUUGUCUUUAAAGGUGGAAACAAAAUCCACCACCUUCCCAAGAUAGCUGUUCUGUCUCACAUCUUCUUGAAGCAAUGAAAUGAUGAGUACUGUGAUCAGAGAGGACCCUCAGAAAAUAAAUAAAAACCCAGCUCUACAAAUGCAGCCGUAAGCCAGGAGGAUAUGACGAAGGAUAUCAUUAUCAUCCUGAUAUUUUUAGAAGUUCUUUGGUGACAGGUCAGAUUUUUGAGAAUCAGAAAAUGAUAAAAAUAAUCUUGUUAUUCCACAAAGGAGGCUCUAUAUAUAUCAGGCCGAUUUUGAACACUGCCUGAGAAUGUUGAGAAAAUAUUUUUAAAUGUUAGUGAAAUGAUAGGCUUUGGGGGCAGACCCAGCCUCGCUUUAGAAAAAGCUUUAUCGUGGGGGGAUUGAGAGAUUUUAGUGAUGUGAGCAUUGUAAAGAAUCAGCAGUGAGUGGGUGUAAGUUUUUGUUUUCCAAUUUUCCAGAGGAGGGUCCACCUGGGAAGAAUUUCAUGAAAUUUACAGAAAUCUGAAAAUUGCUUUUGAAGCUAUUACAGGUACCUGGGGAGUCCUCCUUGGCCCCACAGGCUGACUACACUAUCCAGAUCUUAAGGGACUCUCAUCUUUCCUAACUUCUAGGUUGCAGGAUUCUGCAGAAUUACUUCUGCAGCUUCCAUUUGUAGCUAUUGCUAAGUGGACCCAUAGCUAUAUGGGAUGUGGGGCUCUGGAUUUCAGGUAGAAAUGACCCUUUGUUUAUUUGAGAUGUUUGCUUCUUUAAAUACUCAGCCAUCUGACUCUCUAAUUGUUUAGGAUUAGUCAUAAGUUAAGUAGGACAGGGAAGAUGUUAUAAAUAGUUUAUUGCAUAUCCAUUCAAGAAAUUUAGGCUAAGUUUAUAUAUUUUACCUUCUGAAAGGAGAAAGCCUGUGUGUUUAUUUAAAGCAUUGUAGAUUUUUUCUCAUUUAGAAUAUAUGAGUCUAGUAUAAAAAUUGAUUCUAGAUGAUUUAUAUGUAAGUUGCUCUUUUCUUCAUACUUAUUUUGCUACCUUUUUAUUUCA